CAGUCGCCGCGGUAAUACGAAGGGGGCUAGCGUUGCUCGGAAUUACUGGGCGUAAAGGGAGCGUAGGCGGACAUUUAAGUCAGGGGUGAAAUCCCAGAGCUCAACUCUGGAACUGCCUUUGAUACUGGGUGUCUUGAGUGUGAUAGAGGUAUGUGGAACUCCGAGUGUAGAGGUGAAAUUCGUAGAUAUUCGGAAGAACACCAGUGGCGAAGGCGACAUACUGGAUCAUUACUGACGCUGAGGCUCGAAAGCGUGGGGAGCAAACAGGAUUAGAUACCCCCGUAGUCCCUGUCUCUUAUAC
This 301-nucleotide ribosomal RNA is filed under the name uncultured bacterium. Its description in RNAcentral is "partial 16S ribosomal RNA". It matches the Rfam family "Bacterial small subunit ribosomal RNA", at positions 509 to 807 of the family's 1533-position model. The record is from RNAcentral.